Molecule: small nuclear RNA, 160 nt
Filed under: Dendronephthya gigantea
Lineage: Eukaryota; Metazoa; Cnidaria; Anthozoa; Malacalcyonacea; Nephtheidae
Description: U1 spliceosomal RNA
Rfam family: U1 spliceosomal RNA
About the family: U1 is a small nuclear RNA (snRNA) component of the spliceosome (involved in pre-mRNA splicing).
Source: RNAcentral
AUUCUGUCUUAAUUCAAGGCACCUUGAUCAACUACGAAAUCCUCUCAGGAUGAGGCCCUUUGAUUGCCCUUCAACUGGGUUGACUCCUGCGAUUACCCCUAAUGUGAAUAACUCGAGCGUAUAAUUUCUGGUAGUGGGACCUGCAUUCACGCUCGUCCCC